AUGGCGAUUACAACAUCGGAGAGUGAAGAAGAGCGAAUGGAGGAAAAAAGUUAAAAAGAGUGCAGAAAAUGGGAAAUAAACGAUGCUACAUGCAUCUUUUUUCCGUGAAGAAUGAGGACGUCUUGGACUUCACUUAUCAACGGUGGAACACGAACAGACCCUGCUUAAAAAGUGGCUUUGUCUUCACAGCGCUAACAAGUAUCUUGCAGAAAUAUACCAACAUUGCGUGGAUAUAGAUUUUGAAAAUAUUCCUGGCAACGCUGGAUUCAACACUGCAUGCUACCGGCGUUUAACUGAUAAACAGAAAUUGUUGAAGGCGAGCCAUUCUAACCCCCCUACGAGUACUAGCAAAGUUGCAGAAGCGUCUGAAACUCCCAGAAAAAAACUUUGUUCCCGUUCAGGUUUGCCCAUCGCUUCUGCUGGCCCUGUCCUGCCAGCCAUCUGCAUCAUUUGUAAAAAAAAAAAAAAAAAGUUUCAAAGUAUGCUCGUUUGGGAUCGGAAGGCAAACGGCAGAGGGAUCAUCUCGCCAAAGCAGAGACAUUGUCGGCAGGCCGGUUGCUGCAGGCAGCAGAGAUGAAGAAAGACUCUUCAAUCCUUCUACAUAUCGAAGACAAAGACUGUUGCAAUGGAGGUGCGAUACCUUAAAUCCUGUUACCGAGAUUACACCAGGUUCCUAACCAGGUCAACAGCAACAGAAACUGCUACGAGGGACGAAGAAAUACAACCCUAUGCUGAGAGCUACAAACUCUUUUGUGAACAAGUGGUCCGUCAAAGGAUUAUUGUUGACAAAGAAGUGCUCAGAAUGGACAAGCUAAGAAGGUUGUUCGUGAACACCGUGAAGAACCAUGAGGAUCUUGAUGCUUCAGACUACAGGUAAUUCAGACUUCCAGCUAAUAUUAAAGAAGCCGAGACAGUCUGCACAUUUAAGACUAGAUUAAAAACGUUCCUAUUCAACAAAGCUUAUGGUCAGGCUAGUUGAAGUCGGAGUAGACUCAAAGUUUAGUCUAAACUGCACUAGAAGCUAUAGAGCUGGGGGAAGUACAGCCACUGAGUUCUAUCUCCUUUUUCUCACUCUACCUACCACACCACUUAUCUUACUCUAUUUCUAUUUUACAAUGUUAAUAUCUAGUUGGAGCGGCACGGUGGCUGAGUGGUUAGCACGUCUGCCUCACAGUUCUGAGAUCAAGGGUUCAAUCCCGGGCUUCGGCCUUCCUGUGUGGAGUUUGCAUGUUCUCCCCGUGCCUGCGUGGGUUUCCUCCGGGCACUCCGGUUUCCUCCCACAUCCCCAAAACAUGCAUGGUAGGCUGAUUGAACACUCUAAAUUGUCCAUAGGUGUGAGUGUGUGCGUGAAUGGUUGUGUGUCUCCUUGUGCCCUGCGAUUGGCUGGCAACCAAUUCAGGGUGUCCCCUGCCUACUGCCCGAAGUUAGCUGGGAUAGGCUCCAGCACCUCCGCGACCCUCGUGAGGAAUAAGCGGCAUGGAAAAUGAAUGAAUGAAUGAAUAUCUAGUUGUUUAGUCUCUUCAUCACUAGUCACCCGGUGUCCCCUUUCCCCCCUCCCCUCUGGGGAGGGGCUAUUUUUUCAGCUGCAGCCUCCUGACUGUCCGGACCCCAAGCUGGAUGGACGUCCUCGUGGCUACCCCCGUCUCAUCUGGCUAGAUGGACCCCUUCUUGUUCCUUUACUCCACUGCAUCUUUACGGACUGUAACUUCGCCUGCUAAUUACCAUUAGCGGUCCUGGGGUUCCUGUCUAUCCGUCCUGGGAGUGGAUCUCUCCUGACUGUGGUACUCCCCAAGGUUUCUCAUUUUUCUCCCGAAGACUGGAGUUUUUGGAGUUUUUCCUUGCCGACAUGGAGGGUCUAAGGAUGGGGGAUACCCAGGACUUGAAUUUAUUUAUGAAUCUUUGUUGCUUCAUUUGCUGUUUCUGAUUGUGUAUCAUAUUGCCUCUGCAAAGCCCUUUGAGACAACAUUGUUGUGAUCUAGGGCUAUACAAAUAAAACUGAAUUGAAUUGAGGUAAUUUAUAAAUCGUCAUACUAAAAAAAAAUUUUUUUUAAUUUCUCUAAAAAAAGGCUUUGAGAGAAUGUUAAAUUUUGUUCUCUUUGGUGUAUUUGUGUGAAUGAGAAAUAUAAGUGCAACAGUGAAUGUGGGUGUGUGUGAUGUGAA
This is a long non-coding RNA of Corythoichthys intestinalis (scribbled pipefish), 2160 nucleotides long. RefSeq lists it as uncharacterized. Lineage: Eukaryota; Metazoa; Chordata; Actinopteri; Syngnathiformes; Syngnathidae. The record is from RefSeq and is a predicted model, not a curated record. The transcript has 3 exons.